UGUGGGAGCGAGCCUGCUCGCGAAAGCGGUUUUACAGUCGACAUUUGCGGUGACUGUCAUGACCCCAUCGCGAGCAGGCUCGCUCCCACA
Molecule: non-coding RNA, 90 nt
Filed under: Pseudomonas sp. GV085
Lineage: Bacteria; Pseudomonadati; Pseudomonadota; Gammaproteobacteria; Pseudomonadales; Pseudomonadaceae
Source: RNAcentral